RNAcentral lists this ribosomal RNA (253 nucleotides) under uncultured bacterium. RNAcentral's name for it is "partial 16S ribosomal RNA". It matches the Rfam family "Bacterial small subunit ribosomal RNA", at positions 524 to 776 of the family's 1533-position model. The record is from RNAcentral.
UACAGAGGGGGCAAGCGUUGUUCGGAAUUACUGGGCGUAAAGAGCUCGUAGGCGGUUUGUCGCGUCUGCCGUGAAAGUCCGGGGCUCAACUCCGGAUCUGCGGUGGGUACGGGCAGACUAGAGUGAUGUAGGGGAGACUGGAAUUCCUGGUGUAGCGGUGAAAUGCGCAGAUAUCAGGAGGAACACCAAUGGCGAAGGCGGCCAUCUGGGAGGGCACUGACGCUGAGACGCGAAAGCGUGGGGAGCAAACAGG